This 72-nucleotide transfer RNA is filed under the name Camelus dromedarius (Arabian camel). It matches the Rfam family "tRNA". Rfam says of the family: Transfer RNA (tRNA) molecules are approximately 80 nucleotides in length. Their secondary structure includes four short double-helical elements and three loops (D, anti-codon, and T loops). RNAcentral also lists the same sequence under 1 other name. The record is from Rfam by way of RNAcentral. Lineage: Eukaryota; Metazoa; Chordata; Mammalia; Artiodactyla; Camelidae.
GAAGGUAUAGAUCAGUGGUAGAGUGCAUGCCUAGCAUGCAUGAGCUCCUGGGUUCAAUCCGCAGUAUCGCUA